AUUGAACGCUGGCGGCAGGCCUAACACAUGAAAGUCGAGCGGAGCGGCGGACGGGUGAGUGAUGCCUAGGAAUCUGCCUGGUAGUGGGGGAUAACGUCCGGAAACGGGGGCUAAUACCGCAUACUAUCAGAUGAGCCUAGGUCGGAUUAGCUAGUUGGUGGGGUAAAGGCCUACCAAGGCGACGAUCCGUAACUGGUCUGAGAUUAUGAUCAGUCACACUGGAACUGAGACACGGUCCAUACUCCUACGUCGGGCCGCCGUGGUGCGUGUUUAGCCCUAUACUAAAGCCUGUUCCAGCCAUGCCGCGUGUGUGAAUAAGAUCUUCCGUUUGUCCCGCACUUUAAGUUGGGAGGCGUUACCAACAGAAUAAGCACCGGCUAACUUCGUGCCAGCAGCCGCGGUAAUUC
RNAcentral lists this ribosomal RNA (407 nucleotides) under uncultured bacterium. Its description in RNAcentral is "partial 16S ribosomal RNA". It matches the Rfam family "Bacterial small subunit ribosomal RNA", at positions 30 to 526 of the family's 1533-position model. The record is from RNAcentral.